ACUCGGUGUCAUCUGCAGCUGUUUGCUCCAUCAUCGUGUCCUUCCUGUACCAAAGAAGCCAGGUCAUAUAUCCUUCCUGGACCAAAGAAGCCAGCCAGGUCUCCACUUUUCCAACAUGUUCCAGACUCCAGAAGAAUCAAGUUCAGAAAUGGGGAACCAUCUCCCCGCGUGGCUUCAGUACGCCACAGAUCGUUGCAGUUCUCCCAGUUUUUCAUGUACUCCCUUUGUUAUUUUUUUACAGAGGGAGUACCUAGUUAGCUUCGUCUGGAUAGGAAGCAGGUUCAUGGCUCAGCUGCCUCUUGCAGCAUGCUGGCAUGGAUGAAGACAUUUAUCUGGGCACAUAAACAAGGCCGGCUGGGAAAAACUCUGUGAUGAAAAAAAAGGUGUAGAAAGAAACCGCUCUGGUUUGAGACAAGAGACUUUGCUUGUCUGGUUUGUAGUACUCCCUCCAUUCCAUAAUGCAGUGCAUAUAGAUUUAUUUUUUCA
This is a long non-coding RNA of Triticum aestivum (bread wheat), 486 nucleotides long. RefSeq lists it as uncharacterized. NCBI's taxonomy places the organism in Eukaryota, Viridiplantae, Streptophyta, Magnoliopsida, Poales, Poaceae. The record is from RefSeq and is a predicted model, not a curated record. The transcript is spliced from 2 exons.